AUCGGCAUUGCUGAUGAGCGCUGGAAAAUCUCUGCCGCUCGCAAUUGGCCGGCAUCGCUUUAUGCUUUUGACCACGGAUGUACUGGCACAGGUAGACAAGCGAUGAUGAGGAAGGUCGGUGCGGUUUCGCCCCGGCCUUUUUUGUU
This 146-nucleotide small RNA is filed under the name Rhizobium sp. Root1212. RNAcentral's name for it is "Alphaproteobacterial sRNA ar35". It matches the Rfam family "Alphaproteobacterial sRNA ar35". Lineage: Bacteria; Pseudomonadati; Pseudomonadota; Alphaproteobacteria; Hyphomicrobiales; Rhizobiaceae. The record is from Rfam by way of RNAcentral.